GAUGAGUAUAGUUGGUGAUGAUA
This 23-nucleotide non-coding RNA is filed under the name Arabidopsis thaliana (thale cress). The record is from RNAcentral. Lineage: Eukaryota; Viridiplantae; Streptophyta; Magnoliopsida; Brassicales; Brassicaceae.